This 662-nucleotide ribosomal RNA is filed under the name Shigella boydii. RNAcentral describes it as "bacterial SSU rRNA". It matches the Rfam family "Bacterial small subunit ribosomal RNA", at positions 78 to 730 of the family's 1533-position model. The record is from RNAcentral. Lineage: Bacteria; Pseudomonadati; Pseudomonadota; Gammaproteobacteria; Enterobacterales; Enterobacteriaceae.
GCUUGCUGCUUCGCUGACGAGUGGCGGACGGUGUGUAGUAAUGUCUGGGAAACUGCCUGAUGGAGGGGGAUAACUACUGGAAACGGUAGCUAAUACCGCAUAACGUCGCAAGACCAAAGAGGGGGACCUUCGGGCCUCUUGCCAUCGGAUGUGCCCAGAUGGGAUUAGCUUGUUGGUGGGGUAACGGCUCACCAAGGCGACGAUCCCUAGCUGGUCUGAGAGGAUGACCAGCCACACUGGAACUGAGACACGGUCCAGACUCCUACGGGAGGCAGCAGUGGGGAAUAUUGCACAAUGGGCGCAAGCCUGAUGCAGCCAUGCCGCGUGUAUGAAGAAGGCCUUCGGGUUGUAAAGUACUUUCAGCGGGGAGGAAGGGAGUAAAGUUAAUACCUUUACUCAUUGACGUUACCCGCAGAAGAAGCACCGGCUAACUCCGUGCCAGCAGCCGCGGUAAUACGGAGGGUGCAAGCGUUAAUCGGAAUUACUGGGCGUAAAGCGCACGCAGGCGGUUUGUUAAGUCAGAUGUGAAAUCCCCGGGCUCAACCUGGGAAACUGCAUCUGAUACUGGCAAGCUUGAGUCUCGUAGAGGGGGGUAGAAUUCCAGGUGUAGCGGUGAAAUGCGUAGAGAUCUGGAGGAAUACCGGUGGCGAAGGCGGCCCCCU